CCAUCAGAUGUGCCCAGAUGGGAUUAGCUAGUUGGUGAGGUAACGGCUCACCAAGGCGACGAUCCCUAGCUGGUCUGAGAGGAUGACCAGCCACACUGGAACUGAGACACGGUCCAGACUCCUACGGGAGGCAGCAGUGGGGAAUAUUGCACAAUGGGCGCAAGCCUGAUGCAGCCAUGCCGCGUGUAUGAAGAAGGCCUUCGGGUUGUAAAGUACUUUCAGCGGGGAGGAAGGUGUUGUGGUUAAUAACC
This 251-nucleotide ribosomal RNA is filed under the name Salmonella enterica. Its description in RNAcentral is "partial 16S ribosomal RNA". It matches the Rfam family "Bacterial small subunit ribosomal RNA", at positions 218 to 468 of the family's 1533-position model. The record is from RNAcentral. Lineage: Bacteria; Pseudomonadati; Pseudomonadota; Gammaproteobacteria; Enterobacterales; Enterobacteriaceae.